UGAAUCAAAGAAUCAGGUUGAGGGUCAAUCUUGUAAUUUUACAUCUCUUCUACCUUAAAACCUAAAAGGAAAAACUUUUUAGCCAACAGGCAUGUGGCACACAGCCCCCGAGCCUUUGCACGAUUAAUUUGGGUAUAAGGGUCAACAAUUGGUCAAUGUUACCAUUUGCCAACUGUAACCUUAUCUCUUCCGAAAAUUGGAUAUUGUUCCAGCGAUAACUGAGGGCUUUAAAAACAAAAUAUUCCCCAUAAUUCUCACCUCUUGGUUAACUAUGCCAUGGUUAUAAAUAAUGGAGGAACUCAUCCCUUCCAUUUCACCCGAGCCAUUCUGCCAAUUUACCCUCUGCACUGUAGCCCUAGCGCCGCCGCUUGCCAUUCCCGAGCUUGAGUGCCACCAUCCCUCACUGC
Molecule: long non-coding RNA, 407 nt
Filed under: Setaria viridis
Lineage: Eukaryota; Viridiplantae; Streptophyta; Magnoliopsida; Poales; Poaceae
Description: long non-coding RNA (SVIR_LNC002064)
Source: RNAcentral